Molecule: long non-coding RNA, 4986 nt
Organism: Dama dama (fallow deer)
Lineage: Eukaryota; Metazoa; Chordata; Mammalia; Artiodactyla; Cervidae
Exons: 6
Source: RefSeq, a predicted model, not a curated record
GGAAUCUGCAGAAGUGAGGAGUCCUCUGCAGAGCAGCACUCCGCGAGGAAAGGCAACAGACGGCAGAGCGCUGGGAGGGCAAGGCCUGUGAGUAAGACGUGCUGCCUAUGCUAGCAGAUCCCCCAGGCCCCGGGGACUCACCCUCCAAUCAGCGGUGGGGGCGACUCUGUGAAAACGGCUGGUUCACGGAAACCCGGCGAGACAGCGGCACUGUGUUGGGAGGCUCUUAAGAGAAGGAAGAGAAAACUGCGCGCGCGGGCACAGCCAGGCCUUCCCUGACUGCGAUGCCCAGGAGGCCCAGGCAGCAGAAGUGACCACAGCGUCUUGCAGAUCAGUCUGUCUAGGGAAGGACGCUGACAUGCUCCGUGGAGAAGGCUUGGGAUUAAUUGCCCACAUAAGAGUGGAUUCAUCUCUGGGCUGUCUGUGCUGCUCUACUGACAUAUGUGUCUGGUUUUCUGCUGGAUCGAUACCGGUUUGAUUACUGUAGCUUUGAGUUUUGCUUCUGGUCAUUCAACUAAGAGCGCCCACGGAGAAGUGAAGAGAUGCAGGAGUUGUCACUACAGCCACAGCAGGCUCCCAUUUUAUCAUGGAGAUAAGCAUGGUUACCCAGCCCACCUCCCUGGGCAGGACCUGGAGAGAAAUGAAAUACAAACAUUCACAGACACCAUGCGUUCGAGAUAACAUCAGGUAACAUCAGGAGCUAAGGACAUAACUCAUCCGGAAUUGGGGACCUGGCGUUAUCAAGAGCAUUGAUUUGACCUAGUACAUCAUGAGAAAUGCCAGGCUGGAUGAAGCACAAGUUGGAAUCAAGACUGCCAGAAGAAAUAUCAGUAACCUCAGAUAUGCAGCUGAUACUACCCUUAAGGGAGAAAGUGAAGAGGAACUAAAGAGCCUCUUCAUGAAGGUGUGAGAGGAGAUUGAAAAAACUGGCUUAAAACUCAAUAUUCAAAAAACAAAUCAUAGCAUCUGGUCCCAUUACUUCAUGGUAAAUAGGAAACAGGGAGAGACUAUUUUUCUGGGCUCCAAAAUCACUGCAGAUGGUGACUGCUGCCAUGAAAUUAAAAGAUGCUUGCUCCUUGGAAGAAAAGCUAUGACUAACCUAGACAGUGUAUUGAAACGCAGAGACAUUACUUUUUCAACAAAGGUCCAUCUUGUCAAAGCUAUGGUUUUUUCCAGUAGUCAUAUAUGGGUGUGAGAGUUGGACCAUAAAGAAAGCUGAGUGCCAAAGAAUUGAUGCUUUUGAACUGUGGUGUUGGGAGAAGAUUCUUGAGAGUCCCUUGGACUGUAAGGAGAUCCAACCAGUCCAUCCUAAAGGAGAUCAGUCCUGAAUGUUCAUCGGAAAGACUGACACUGAAGCUGAAACUCCAAUACUUUGGCCACCUGAUGCAAAGAGCCAACUCACUGGAAAAGACCCUUAUGCUGGGAAAGACUGAAGGCAGGAGGAGAAAGGGAGGACAGAGGAUGAGAUGGCUGGAUGGCAUCACCAAGUCACAGGAUAUGAACUUGGGCAAGUUCCGGGAGAUGGUGAAGGACAGGAAGCCUGGCGUGCUGCAGUCCUUGGGGUUGUGAAGAGUCGGACACGACUGAGCUCCUGGACAACAACAACAGUAUAUUUUGCAGUCUGUGGUUGGUAAUUUCAGUAGUUGCAGCUGUUUUAAAUCUGUUUCUGUUUAAGACAGUAAAUUUUCUGUGUAGACUUGGGGAUGGCUGUAUAUGCUAUUAUGGGGGAAGUUUAUUUCUAGUACAUAUUUAAACUGAAUGAAUAAUUCUUGGAACGCUUUCUCUGUGUGUGUGUGUGCCCAUAGGGCAGGUCAUAGCUUUUGUCUCUUAUUAGAUAAAGAAAAUCGCAUGUGAACUGGGUUUGGCAAAUGUCCAUAGGGUAAAAGCAUGCUUUAGGAUCUGCUCACCUCUCUAGGUUUCUGCCUUCACUUAAUUUCUUUGACCUAAUAAUUUCUUUAUUGCCAGUUAAUAAAUGAGAUACCUAGUCCAUAAUAUAGCCAAAAACAAAGCCUAUGUUCUUCCUUAAAGUUUAUUAUCCAAACUUUCUUGGAAGGAUAUUUUCUUAAGAUAAAUAAUAGUAAGCAGAAAUGCUUAAAAUCAAUAUGCAAAUAUUUUGCAAGCAAAUCUGUAGAUUUUAGAGGUAGACUUUCUUUUUAGUAUAAAUUUUAUUUGAAUGUUUAUCAGAUAUCUGGCUGACUGUUUUAUAGAUAUCUAUCAUUUCACUUUAUUAAAUAGAAGUUUACAUAUUGUUCUAGAGUGCAUUUAGUCUUUGAACCACUAAUCUGUUGGUUAAAAUCCACUUUAGGUGAUCUGAGAGGUUAUGUUAUUUAACAAUUUCAAAAAUCUCUGUAAUUUAGAAGAAGAAAUACUUAUGUUUUACUCUUCUUUCACAUUUAUAGCUGCUCUAGGGUAUUGGUCAGGGUAUUGCUCCAGGGUAAAGGUCAAUUUCAGGUCUGCUCCAGGGCAUUGCUCCAGGGUAAAGGUCAAUUUCAGGUCUGCUCCACGUAUUUUCUCAUUCUGAGACACUACUUGGAACACGCUUUGCUCAUGGUAGGCAGUUCAAGACUAAUGGAUUACAUUAAAAAUUAAAGAAGUUAGCAUGUGUCCCAUCUACUCACAAACAACUGACUAAAGCAAGUCACAUGACCAAGAGUAAUACUACAGUCCACUUCAUAGACUUCAAGAUAACGUCAAAAACUUUAUCUAUGUCUGAAAUUGCUCUCAAUCUUCUUUGAAAAAUUAGGAUUUUAACCUAAAAGCCUCAUCAGCAGUCUUUGGCAAGAUAAGUGUCUAAAUGGAAGGCUAAUAGAAAAAAGCUCAGACUGUAAAGAAUCUCCUGCAAUUCAGGAGACCUGGAUUCAAUCCCUGGGUCAGGAAGAUCCCCUGGAGAAGAGAAUGCUUACACACUCCAGUAUUCUUGCCUGGGAAAUGCUACAGACAGAGGAGCUUGGUGGGCUACAGUCCAUGGGAUCACAAAGAGUUGGACAGUAUUGAGUGGCUAACAUUUUCUUUCAAAGGAAAAACCAAAAUAAAAUAAAAAGAAAAAAGAAAAAACCUAAACCCCUCAAGCCAAAUCUCUCACAUUCUACGUCAGAGUUUUCUAUGGGAAAGAUUAUCAUGACUGUCAGUGCUUAAACUGAUUUGAAAAAAGAAAACUUUUCAUUCUUAGAAAUGUAUAAUUAAUUAAACAUUAGGCAAAAGAGAUGGAUUCUCAUUGGAGUUUAAAUAGGAUAGUUAUAAUAAAAAGUUUUAGUUUAAAAUACUGUUCUUAAAAUCAUUUUAAGAGUAGCAAAUGCAGGGCCUCUCUUAACACAGAAAAUGGAAGCUACCGAAUACUUUUCAGUUACAGUACAAUAUCACAUAUUACAGUUUCUGCUUAUGUUAUGAUUACAUUGAAAAUGCAAGAUUGAAUGAUUAUUUCCUGAAACCCUAGAAUAUCAGAUUUGAAAGGACCUAAAAAGCAUAUAUUUUUCAACUGUAAUGCAUUGAGAUGCCAUUUUGCUGCCAUCGAUUGUGAUGUAUGUUAAAAUCAUUAGUCAUUCAUGACAAAUAACUAUAAUUAGCAAUAGUUAAAAUACAGAAGAUUAUGAAAGAUAUACUUGAAAUCAAACAGAACCCUUAGAAGACUUUCCAGGGACAGACCCUGGAAUCCUCUCUCCCACUCUUGUUUAUAAAAAAGUUUUAGCUUUCUCCAAAUUCCAAAGAGCAGAUUUAAUCAGAGCACUGAGAAAAUGCAGAAACAAAGGAAACUGGUCAAGCAGGACAAUAGAAUAGUUCAGCCAUAAAACAAAGUCAAGGACCUUUAGUUCCUCCUCGAGGGCUAUAGAUAAUAUCCCAAGCCAUAUCCUUGAGUUGUCUUGCAGAUACUAAAAUUCGCACCAGGUGAAAGAAGUUAACUGCUGACCUCCAGUACAUAGAACCCAGACCGGUUGGACCAGAAAGAUCAUAAUGUUGACUCUCAAAUACCACCCUGUUUCCUCACCACCAAUCAGAAGGAUGUCCACAAACUGAUCAGGCACCCUGAGACCCUCACCUUGCCUUUAAAAACCCUUCCCAUUAGGGAGUUUGGGUCUUUUGAGCAUGAGCUGCCUCUUCUCUUUGCUUGCCCCUACACUGGGCACCUUGCAAAAAACCCUGUACUUUCCUUCACCACAACUUGGUGUCAAGGAAUGGCUUCACUGUGCACCAGUGAGGGGACCCAAAUUUGGUUCUGUGAUAUAUUAAUUAUUUACAUUUGUCUUCCCUAUUACAUCUUCAUUUUCACUUAUGUACAUGCUGGAUGGGUGUGUGGGUGUGUGUGUGUGUGUGUGUGAGAGAGAGAGAGAGAGAGAGGAGUUAUAGCUAGUUUGAAAACAAUUUGCAUAAUCCUGGGUACACCAUGACUAUUUGUUUCAAAUGUGAACAUCAUCCAUUGGAAAAAAAGAUUGCAUAUCAUUCCUUAAAGAGCAUGUAGUCCAACUCCCUUUUAUCAGAACUUGAAAUGCAGAGAGUAACUUAUCUAGUUGCAUAUCUAAUAAACCUAAGCUUCCUUGAUUCCACUACAGUGCUUUCCAUUUCAAUAAAUGAUUUUAUUUUCAACAGCCAGUGUAAGAAAUGGUUGUCUGAGGAGGCCUUACAAAUAAACAUGAAAAGAAGAGACUUGAAAGGCAAAGGAGCAAAGGAAAGAUAUACUUAUUUGAAUUCAGAGUUUCAAAGAAUAGCAAGGAGAGAGAAGAAAGUCUUCCUCAGUGAUCAAUGCAAAGAAAUAGAGGAAAACAAUAGAAUGGGAAAGACUAGAGAUCUCUUCAAGAAAAUUAGAUACCAAGGGAAAUUUCAUGCAAAGAUGGGCACAAUAAAGGACAGAAACGGUAUGGACCUAACAGAAGUAGAAGAUAUUAAGAAGAGGUGGCAAGAAUACACAGAACUAUACAAAAAAGAUCUUCACCACCCAGAUAAUCACAAUGGUGUGACCACUCACCUAGAGCCAGACAUCCUGGAAUGUGAAGU